This 127-nucleotide small nucleolar RNA is filed under the name Ursus americanus (American black bear). RNAcentral's name for it is "Small nucleolar RNA SNORA26 (ENSUAMG00000020615.1)". It matches the Rfam family "Small nucleolar RNA SNORA26". From Rfam's summary of the family: The snoRNA HBI-6 belong to the H/ACA family of snoRNAs, guiding the pseudouridylation of position U4522 if the 28S rRNA. HBI-6 is the human orthologue of mouse MBI-6 snoRNA. The record is from Rfam by way of RNAcentral. Lineage: Eukaryota; Metazoa; Chordata; Mammalia; Carnivora; Ursidae.
GUGCCGUUUUAAGGCUGGACGGGCCUGCCUUGAGAAGGCCUAACACAGAAGGGUAAAGGAAAGUCUCCAUAAAACCGGGAAGAAGAUUGGUAAAACUCCUCUUUGGAUCCUGUCUGGAGUCACAGCU